RNAcentral lists this ribosomal RNA (253 nucleotides) under uncultured bacterium. Its description in RNAcentral is "partial 16S ribosomal RNA". It matches the Rfam family "Bacterial small subunit ribosomal RNA", at positions 524 to 776 of the family's 1533-position model. The record is from RNAcentral.
UACGUAGGGUGCAAGCGUUAAUCGGAAUUACUGGGCGUAAAGCGUGCGCAGGCGGUUGUGUAAGACAGAUGUGAAAUCCCCGGGCUCAACCUGGGAACUGCAUUUGUGACUGCACAGCUGGAGUGCGGCAGAGGGGGAUGGAAUUCCGCGUGUAGCAGUGAAAUGCGUAGAUAUGCGGAGGAACACCGAUGGCGAAGGCAAUUCCCUGGGCCUGCACUGACGCUCAUGCACGAAAGCGUGGGGAGCAAACAGG